GAGGAAUAUUGGACAAUGGGCGAAAGCCUGAUCCAGCCAUGCCGCGUGCACGAAGACGGCCCUAUGGGUUGUAAACUGCUUUUAUACGGGAAGAAACACCCUCUCGAGUAGGGGGCUUGACGGUACCGUAUGAAUAAGGAUCGGCUAACUCCGUGCCAGCAGCCGCGGUAAUACGGAGGAUCCGAGCGUUAUCCGGAAUCAUUGGGUUUAAAGGGUCCGUAGGCGGGAGAAUUAGUCAGUGGUGAAAGUCUGUGGCUCAACCAUAGAAUUGCCGUUGAAACUGUUUUCCUUGAGUCAUUAUGAAGUGGUUAGAACAUGUAGUGUAGCGGUGAAAUGCAUAGAUAUUACAUAGAAUACCGAUUGCGUAGGCAGAUCACUAAUAAUGUACUGACGCUGAGGGACGAAAGCGUAGGUAGCGAACAGGAUUAGAUACCCUGGUAGUCUACGCCGUAAACGAUGGUUACUAGCUGUUUGUCCAUUGAGGAUGAGUGGUUAAGCGAAAGUGAUAAGUAACCCACCUGGGGGAGUACGUUCGCAAGAAUG
This 543-nucleotide ribosomal RNA is filed under the name uncultured bacterium CompA. Its description in RNAcentral is "bacterial SSU rRNA". It matches the Rfam family "Bacterial small subunit ribosomal RNA", at positions 356 to 896 of the family's 1533-position model. The record is from RNAcentral.